GAGGAAUAUUGCGCAAUGGGGGAAACCCUGACGCAGCAACGCCGCGUGGGUGAAGAAGGCCCUCGUUGGUUGUAAAGCCCUGUCAGGCGGGAAGAAACCUUUUCAGGUGAAUAGUCUGGAAAGCUGACGGUACCGCCAAAGGAAGCACCGGCUAACUCCGUGCCAGCAGCCGCGGUAAGACGGAGGGUGCAAGCGUUGUUCGGAAUCACUGGGCGUAAAGCGCGUGUAGGCGGUCCGGUAAGUCGGGUGUGAAAUCCCGAGGCUUAACCUCGGAAGUGCACUCGAAACUGUCGGGCUUGAGUACGGGAGAGGGAAGUGGAAUUCCUGGUGUAGAGGUGAAAUUCGUAGAUAUCAGGAGGAACACCGGUGGCGAAGGCGGCUUCCUGGACCGAUACUGACGCUGAGACGCGAAAGCGUGGGGAGCAAAC
This 428-nucleotide ribosomal RNA is filed under the name uncultured bacterium. RNAcentral describes it as "bacterial SSU rRNA". It matches the Rfam family "Bacterial small subunit ribosomal RNA", at positions 356 to 773 of the family's 1533-position model. The record is from RNAcentral.